Long non-coding RNA from Alligator mississippiensis (American alligator), 4320 nucleotides. RefSeq lists it as uncharacterized. The record is from RefSeq and is a predicted model, not a curated record. NCBI's taxonomy places the organism in Eukaryota, Metazoa, Chordata, Crocodylia, Alligatoridae. The transcript has 2 exons.
CGCCUCCAGCACAGCAAGAUGUCUGACAGCCUAGGCAUGUUGGAAGACCUGUGCUACCAGGACUCAUCCUGUUGUUGGAGACCCCGCCGCAGAAGGCCAUGUUAUUGUUGUUGCUAUGAUCCAUGCACUGGAGAGCUAAUCUGGCAGGGUAUGUGCUGUUGCCCUUUGUGGCAUGGUAGGGGCAGAUAUGGAAGGUGAUGGCCAUGAUCAAUACAGAUCAAAUAAUUAUGGCAUUUGGAGCAACACAGACAUGAAAAACAAGAUACAGAUUCAUGACUGACCCGAAGAACAUGGCCUGGAGCAGAGCUAAGCACUCAGCACCUCCAUUGUGAGGGCUUCGCGUUGCUGGAAGACUCCCUCCCCCAUACACCUGUUUCCUACACUUUUGCUUUGUCCCUCUAGGAACUUUGCAUUUUCUGCAUCAUUACACAUUAAGGGCUUUCCAUGCUGUGCUGUCAUUUAAAAGGAAGUCUCUGCUCCCGUAGAGUCCACUUGUAAUCCAUUGCAGACCACUUGAUAUAGCCACAGUGGUGCAGAAAGGUUUUGGUGUGAACAGGAAAGAGAAGCUCUUUUAUCUUUUAUCUUUUGCUUCUUUUGCUUAAUCUUGGCUACACAAACUGUAUCAUGGACUAGCUGCUGGUUCCCCUCUUUUCCUGGUGCUUUUUCUCAUGAACCAAUAUUCCAGGGGAAAAAAAAAAGUAAAUAAAUAGAUGGAAACAGCUUGGUAGUAAAAAUCAGCAGUUGCAAAGCAAGAAGCACACCUUGUACAAAAUGGGCCAAGUAUAGAAUCCCGGUUGUGGCCUUCUGGAAAAAAUUGGGAGUAUUUGCUCUCUCCUCUGUAUCCCUUCUGUGUCUGUAUAACUCAGUUUCUUCUGCGCAUUGCCAUUACUUUGCAGAAUAAUAUUUGCCUCCUGGAUUUCUUUUCCCCUCCAUUCUUUAUUUGCAAACCUGUUGGUGAAAUUUUCUCAUGUUCUCAGCCCAGCACAUGGCAUGACUUAAUUCACAUUGAAGUCCUACACAGAGAAGAAAAUCAGCCCUGUUAGUGUGCCCUGUACACAUGUUUGUGUGCCCUGUACUUUUCUCCUAGCCCAGCUGGGGUGUUUGCUAUUCUUUCUCAUAUAGAGCACCUGGUCCUUUUCCUCUGCUGCUGCUCCAUGACUGAUAAUACUGUGCUUUCUACACUGGAGAAACCUAAUGCCAGCACUGAAAUCUCUCCAGCCCGUUCCUCCUAUACUAUUAAAAAAAAAGAGUAGUUGCUCUCAUGCCUCCCUCCCAGUUGCUUCUACUGCCAACCUGGUUUAAUCAAAAGCAUGGUCAAAUUAAGACCAAUGAAUCUGAAGCAGAACUGAUUUAUAAACCUGGAUUUUAAACAAGUCUUUAUGAAAAAAGGGGAGCCCGGGGCCUGUGUCCAAUCUAUUUGUGCAUGUAACUGGAGGCAGUAGUGCCCUAUUCCAUUUCCCCUGAACUCAAAUGAUGAAGGUUUCGUCCUGUAGGAUUACAGGGGAGAACGGAGACUGCCGAGCUGCUUGAAAGUCCUGGAGUGACGGAGAGCUGGAAAUGAAAAGCCAGAUACAAAUGCACAGCUGAGUUUACCAGCAUGGCUUUCAGCAGCGCUCAGCGCCCAGGUCUGUCCCCAACCUAUGUGACAGUCCUGAGGACUCGGCAGCUCUGUGAAGGUGCCUGAUCUAUGUAUUUCCAAUGUUGUGCUGCAUGAUUGUUUCCUCACAUGCUUUCAGUGAUGCCGUUUUUUUCUACUUUGGUAGAAUAAUGGAAACAGUUUCCUUAUGGAGAGCAUAUAUAACACCAAAUCUAGUCUUACAGGCCCGUUUCAUUUGGAUUUUCAAACUCUACAGUGACAACAAUCAGAGAAGAAACACCAGUUUCUCCAUUGUCUUAAAUGUGGGGGGUUCUAAAAUUUAAAAUAUAUUUUUUUUACAAAAAGAGAAAGAAACCUGCAUUGGUUUUUAAAUGGAAAUUAAAUUCCAAUUAAAAACCUCAAAAAAUUAAAGCUCUAACAACUCACGACCUAAUUAAAGCUUAGAAAUGAGCGAGGGCGGUCUGCAUUGUUAGAGACUCUAUUGCUACAUACAGCGGUGACUUCCAGUAGCCAAAUAUUAACUUUGUUGUAAUGCAACAAUUUUCCCCUGCAACAGCUUUAAUGAGUGUUAAUGAAGUGUUUUGAUUUCCUAAAUUCUGAGAACAUUAGAAUAUGCACUGUGGCUGUCAUUAUCCUUUUUUUUUUUGAAACUAAGAGGUGGCACAUUGAAGGGAAGGACACAUUAUUGCCUUGCCAGUAAACGACUUAAUAUAAGUUGAUAGUCCUGACAGCUAGGUGUGCAACUAGCAACUGGCUGAGUAAGCCCUGUGAGAUCGUGUUGUGAAAUAACAAUAGUGCUAUCAAUCUCUGAUGAAAUUAGGUUUGGCAUAUUGGACUUUAUCUCCCUUGUUUUUUUGGGUCAAGAUUCCUCUGAAUCAUCUUCUGAAGUAGCCCAUGAUCACGUACAUCAUGCUGCCAUCUCCUUUCUCUUCUCCUUCUUUGUUCAGAAAGAGGAGAAUACUGCUGAGGAAAAAGCAAGUCCAGAAGUUUCUUAGCUACUAAUGGAGAUGUCAAGUUCAGCAGACAAUACAAGAUAGAGAGCUUUGUUAUAGGAUGUCACAUGUUGCUCAAAUGAAAAAAUGUCCCCCUCUCCUCUGCAGUUGACAGUUCCAUAAAUUUAAAUCCUCAAUGGGAAAGUCCUAUUCACCUUAAAACAUGCCAUUAGGCUUGCCAGAAGAGGGGACGGGGAAUGUGAAACCCUUCUCUAAGGUACAACCCAACAUCUGAAUGACUCUGAACACUUUCUGAGUGUGUGUCAGAAGCUCUGGGGCACUCCUUCCCCUUCCUCGCAGUUCUUUGGGUCUUUGUAGCACUAUUAUACACAACAUUAAUUUAUGGAAAUGUUCUUUAAGAUUUCAAUGUCAAAAAGUUUAGAAAACAGCCAGUUUGCUCUACCUUUGUGGUAAAUGGUGAAAAUAUUUGCAUCUGUUCUGAAUCAGGCUCACUUCUAAGUUUGAAGAGCUGAUAAUUUUCCCCCAAAAAGGAAACUCUGAGUGUCAGCAAGUUUGACCCUCCUCUCCCAGUGUCACCUCUCUUAAGUCAUCUCCAUAAAACCAUGAAUGUAGUUGGGCAAGAAAUAUUUUGCAUGGAAAAAACUUGGACGGUGCAUGUGGAACACCAGGAAGCAGACGACAGAUACUAAUUAGAAAAAAAAACAAGGAAAACAAUUAUUCCCACUAAAGGUGUGGCAUCCACAACAGAACGUUUUGCAUCUGAUAAACACAAACGGGUGUUUCUGGUGAACCAGGUAGUUUCAGAAGCUGUAUAAAAGGCCUUGAAAACCAGUGCUCUCUACUCGCUGCUCUUGUUUUACUCCCUGUAGAAAAUCAGGUUCACCACCAUCCCAACAAGAUGUUUGACAGCCUAGACACAGUUGAAAACCUGUUUUACCCAGGCCAGUCUGAUUUUCAUUGGCUCCCCUACCCUCAAAGGCGAUACUGGUGUUGCUGCUAUGACCGAUACGGAAGGCUAGUUUGGCAGGGCCCAUGCUGUUAUCCAGGCCCCUGGUGUCGCAGUUAGGAACAGCUCUGGAAGGUGAUGGCCAUGCUAAAUCCAGCUCAAACAUCCACAGCACUGCGAUGAACGAAGACAUUAAAAGCAAGAUACAGAUUCACGGCUCACCCAAAGGACAUGGCUUUAAACAGUGCUAAGCACUCAGCACCUCCCUUGUGAGGGCUCAGCACUGCUACAAGACUCCCUCCCCCAUACACCUGUUUCCUACUCUUUAAUUUGUCAUUCUAGGAACCUUUAAUUUUCUGCACUGUUAAGCAUUAAGGUCCAUACAUGCUGUACUGUCACUUAAAAGGAAGAUUCUGCUUCCCUAGAGCCCACUUGCAAUCCACUGUAGACCCCUGGACACAGCCACAGUGGUGUCAUAGGGCUUUGGUGUCAACAGAGAUGGUCUUUUAUUCUUUGCUGCUAACUAGAAACUUGGUUACACAAACUGCAUCAUGGAGAAGCUGCUGAUUCUCCACCUUAUAUGGUGCUUUGCCUCGUGAUAUUUUUCAGCGAGAAAAGAAGUGAAUAGAUAGAUGGAAACAGUUUGGUAGAAAAAUUGUCAGCAGCAGCAAAGAAAGAAGAUCACCUUGUAGAAAUGGGCCAGGUGUAGAAACCCGUUUGUGACCCCUUUGGCAAAACUUGAGAAUAUUUGCUGCCUCCUCUGUAUCCCUUCUGUGUCUGUACACUCAAUUUCUUCUGUGCAUUAAACUUCCUCUGCAGCAUAA